RNAcentral lists this long non-coding RNA (221 nucleotides) under Nicotiana benthamiana. RNAcentral describes it as "long non-coding RNA (NBEN_LNC000649)". The record is from RNAcentral. Lineage: Eukaryota; Viridiplantae; Streptophyta; Magnoliopsida; Solanales; Solanaceae.
CCUCUACCAAUCGCUAAGGAUCUUUUGAUCUUUAUGUUUCGCUUCUUUAUUAUGUGUAAUUGUCAAUUCAGAAUUCGGGUGUAACUAGCAAUCAUUUGUUAGUUUGGAGAGCCACUGACUGAUGGUCAGACAUUUUGCUAUGCGGUGAUGGUCACCAUGACCAUUAUCAAAAUAGAGAAGACGCAGACGGUGGUGCUCUAUGGGAUGUCUUUAGGAGGAAA